RNAcentral lists this ribosomal RNA (497 nucleotides) under uncultured bacterium. RNAcentral's name for it is "partial 16S ribosomal RNA". It matches the Rfam family "Bacterial small subunit ribosomal RNA", at positions 28 to 507 of the family's 1533-position model. The record is from RNAcentral.
GAUGAACGCUGGCGGCGUGCCUAAUACAUGCAAGUCGAGCGAACAGACGAGGAGCUUGCUCCUCUGACGUUAGCGGCGGACGGGUGAGUAACACGUGGAUAACCUACCUAUAAGACUGGGAUAACUUCGGGAAACCGGCGCUAAUACCGGAUAAUAUAUUGAACCGCAUGGUUCAAUAGUGAAAGACGGUUUUGCUGUCACUUAUAGAUGGAUCCGCGCCGCAUUAGCUAGUUGGUAAGGUAACGGCUUACCAAGGCAACGAUGCGUAGCCGACCUGAGAGGGUGGUCGGCCACACUGGAACUGAGACACGGUCCAGACUCCUACGGGAGGCAGCAGUAGGGAAUCUUCCGCAAUGGGCGAAAGCCUGACGGAGCAACGCCGCGUGAGUGAUGAAGGUCUUCGGAUCGUAAAACUCUGUUAUUAGGGAAGAACAAAUGUGUAAGUAACUAUGCACGUCUUGACGGUACCUAAUCAGAAAGCCACGGCUAACUACGUG